GUCCCUGUCGAUUAGUGGUCAAAUCAUCACGUUGUGGUAGAAUUAUUACAAACCGUGAAGCCGGGAGCUCGAAUCUCCCCAGGGACA
Molecule: transfer RNA, 87 nt
Filed under: Lentinula guzmanii
Lineage: Eukaryota; Fungi; Basidiomycota; Agaricomycetes; Agaricales; Omphalotaceae
Description: tRNA-His
Rfam family: tRNA
About the family: Transfer RNA (tRNA) molecules are approximately 80 nucleotides in length. Their secondary structure includes four short double-helical elements and three loops (D, anti-codon, and T loops).
Source: RNAcentral